UCUGGUCUAUCUUAUAGGAGGGACUAGAUAUCACUCUGUCUAUCUUAUAGGAGUGGUUCUAGAUCACUCUGUCUAUCUUCUAGGAGUGGUUCUAGAUCACUGUCUGUUAUAGGAGUGGUUCUAGAUCACUCUGUCUAUGUUAUAGGAGUGGUUCUAGAUCACUCUGUCUAUCUUCUAGGAGUGGUUCUAGAUCACUCUGUCUGUUAUAGGAGUGGUUCUAGAUCACUCUGUCUAUGUUAUAGGAGUGGUUCUAGAUCACUCUGUCUAUGUUAUAGGAGUGGUUCUAGUGCUCUCUGUGUCUGAGGGGAGGCACUAACAUAAUUAUCAUGAAGUUCAUUAAAUCUUUAAGCCAGAGGUGUUAAUAGCGACAGAUUUCCACCAUCAGUGGUAGAUGUGUAGAGACUAAUCUAUGAGAUGAGGUAGUGUUGAUGAACAGGGCAGGAAGUCGUUUCCUACGAUAGUAACAGGUACUAGAGGUGAACCAUCUGACUGUUUUACUGCUCAAUUCAGUUAUACAGCACCAGACGUCUUGAUCGUUAACUCAUAUCUGAGAUGAUCUGAUGUGUUGAGGGUGAAGGUGUUGAGGGUGAAAAUGUCUUUGUGAAGGUGGAGGGGGUGAAGAUGUCUUUGUGAAGGUGGAGGGGGUGAAGUUGUCUUUGUGAAGCUGUCUUUGUGAAGCUGUUGAGGGUGAAACUGUUGAGGGUGAAGAUGUCUUUGUGAAGGUGUUGAGGGUGAAGCUGUCUUUGUGAAGGUGGAGGGGGUGAAGCUGUCUUUGUGAAGGUGUUGAGGGUGAAGCUGUCUUUGUGAAGGUGUUGAGGGUGAAGCUGUCUUUGUGAAGGUGUUGAGGGUGAAGCUGUCUUUGUGAAGGUGUUGAGGGUGAAGAUAUCUUUGUGAAGCUGUUGAGGGUGAAGAUGUUUUUGUGAAGGUGCUCAUUACAGUAAGUCUGCAUUACAAAUAGCAGCCUAUUCCCUUCAUAGUAAGCCUCUGGUCUAAAGUAGUGCCCUAUAUAGGGAAUAGGGUGCCGUUUAAGGAUGCAGGUCCUGUGUUUCAGUCUCCUGGUCUGUUUGUCGGUAAUCAUUCCUCCUGAUCUGCCAUCGCUGCUCCCAAGGCACGCUGCUGUCCUGAAGUGUCCAUGUUGCUAUGGUGACAGGUUGCCAUGCUGACUGCUUUCUGAUUGGUUGGCUUAGAGAGAGGUGUCUGUCUGUGUAGAUGGAAUAUGUUUUUCCAGUUGUGCUCUCUCGUCUGCGUCUUACAGUGUCAAUGUAAUGUCUACCUUUGUUCAGGUUCAAAUCCUUUUGUCAUCCCGUCACUGGGCAGUUUGUUCACAGCACAACAAAUAGUAUUUGUGUAUUUUUUAAAGCAACAAAGUCCUAUAAUUCAACACUCCAUUGGAAUCCACGAUGCCAAUAUCAUUUUUCCUUCUGGGGGGUAAAUAAAGUGUACCAGUCUUUACAUUCUGGAAUUCCUAAAUCCCAAAGUCCCCUUUUUCCUCUGUGGAGUGUUGGUGGUGAUCCAGGAUGAGCUGCGGGGUCGAGCUCUGAGCCUGAGUAGCUCCUACGCUGAGAGGAGCAGGCAGGACCAGCCUUAGGCCCCAGGCAGCUUCUAUUUGAUGCUGGAAUCCCCUAGGUGAGGAUGCUGGGGUUGGCUGGGCGCGAGAUUUACUCUGAUCCUCGGGGGCUCCAGGAUUCUUUUCUCUCUUUUCCUGUGUCCCAAAAGGCAACCUCUAUUCCCUACAUAGUGCACUACUUUCCAUUGGUGGUGACUGUGAUUCAGUAUUCCAGGGGUACACAUGAACAAGCCUUGCUGUUGUUGUGGUCCUGAGGAAAAUGACCCUCUCUGGGACUUCCUGCCAGGGCUGAGGAGUUAACAACACAUGAGUUCUUCAGAUCUGGCUUGUCGUUGUAGAGGACUAAGGUCCCAGUUUAAGGCAGGUAGGAAAGCUUGGUCUGUGUUGGUACCUACACAGCAUUUUAACAGCAGGUUAUACUCGGAUGCAUGUUCCUGUGUGUGUGUGUGUGUGUGUGUGUGUGUGUGUGUGUGUGUGUGGAAGAUGUAUUGUAGAGAAAACAGAGAUAAAUCACCUGAUUUGACAGUCAGAAGAACAAUGACAUGAAACAUCAAUUAAACUACAGCAGGAUGGAGAGAGAAAGGAGAGCUGCUCUGCUCACACACGCACGCACGCACGCACGCACACACACACACACACACACACACACGCACAAGCACACGCACACGCGCACACGCACACACACACACACUCUUGUCUCUAUCAGAG
This 2275-nucleotide long non-coding RNA is filed under the name Salmo salar (Atlantic salmon). Its description in RNAcentral is "lncRNA (ENSSSAG00000084971.1)". Lineage: Eukaryota; Metazoa; Chordata; Actinopteri; Salmoniformes; Salmonidae. The record is from RNAcentral.